GGAUGGCGGCGGCGGCGGCUCCUCAGGCCACGGCCCUGACACCAGCGGGAGGAGCCGAGGAAGCGCCGUGAGAUGGGCCGACUACCAAGCCAGUCGGGAGGAGACUGCUUCAUAUUACAGUUGCCCAGAAGCAUUGCUGGAAACUCAGAUGUGGGUGCCCCAGUCAACAGUGGAAGGGGGUACAAGGAAAUCACAGAGAAGUCUGUUCUGAUGUCCCCAGAAGCAAGCCGACCCCCUCCGGGCUCUGGGAAUACUACAAAGCAAUAUGAAACCUGUUCAUGAGAGGAGUCAGGAAUGCCUUCCACCAAAGAAACGAGACCUCCCUGUGACCAGCGAGGAUAUGGGGAGGACCACCAGCUGCUCAACCAACCACACACCCUCCAGUGAUGCCUCUGAUUGGUGUCGGGGGGUUGUGGUGACUGGGCAGACCCAGGCAGGAGGAAGACAGAGUGUUGGUAGUGAUGGAGUGGAGGCCAUCACUGGUCUAACAGUGGACCAGUAUGGUAUGCUGUACAAGGUGGCCAUGCCACCAGCCACAUUUUCCCCAACUGGCCUCCAUCCUGUGGUGAACAUGAGCCCCCUGCCCUCUGCCUUUAAUGUAGCAUCAUCACUGAUUCAGCAUCCAGGAAUCCACUAUCCCCCCAUCCAUUAUGCUCAGCUUCCCCCCACUUCUCUGCAGUUUAUUGGAUCUCCUUACACUAUGCCCUAUGCCGUGCCACCCAAUUUUCUCCCUAGUCCUCUGCUCUCCCCUUCUGCCAACCUCACAACCUCUCAUGUUCCUCAUUUUGUGCCAUAUGCCUCACUCCUGGCAGAAGGGGCUACCCCUCCCCCCCAGACCACAUCUCCAGCCCACACUUUCAACAAAGUCCCUGCCGCCACUUCUCCACCAGGUCAGCUGCAGCAUCACUCAGGCACUCAGCCAGUGGACCUCACUCCAGGCCGAGUGCCCAUUUACUAUCAGAUGUCUCGGCUCCCCCCUGGGUAUACAACACAUGAAAUCCCUCCAACAGGAACAAGCCCAGAUUCUGCCCAUGCACUACAUGAGGUCCAGCCUGUUCCAGAUGUAACUACUCCCAACGGAGGGCAGAGACAAAUGGAACGGAACAUGGUAAGACGAGAAAGUGAAGCCACGGACCCCCCCAGCAACCAGGAUGACGGCCAGGGACUAGGAACAGUGGUGGAAUGUGUGGUGGACGGACAGUUGUUUUCAGGUUCUCAGACUCCACGGAUGGAGGUGGCGGUGCCGGCACACCGAGGGACUCCAGAUACUGACCUAGAGGUCCAGAGAGUGGUUGGAACAUUAGUGUCUCAGGACUAUCGAGUGAUGGCAACUCAGAGGAAAGAUGAGCCCAGCCCCCUUAAUCUGUCCCAUCAUGCCCCUGAUCAUCAGAGUGAGGUGAGAGGGCUGGCUAGGAACCCAGUAGAAAUGACAGAGAAGAGCCAGGCCCGGGGCCUCUACACCCAGUCUCCUCAAGAGCUGGCAAAACAUAGACCUUUACCCAAAGCAAUGGUUAUAGCCAAUGGCAAUUUGGUGCCCAUUGGUACUGAGCAGGGCCUGCUGUCCAUGGGGUCAGAAAUCCUAGUGACAUCAAGUCUGGAUAUGCAGGUUCGAGCCACUUUCCCAAACAAGGAGCCAACCCCACCACCUAGCACCUCUUCCCACUUGCCCUCUCACUUCAUGAAAGGUGCCAUUAUCCAGUUGGCCACAGGAGAGCUGAAGCGGGUUGAGGAUCUACAGACCCAAGACUUUGUGCGCAGCGCAGAGGUGAGCGGGGGACUGAAGAUUGACUCCAGCACCGUGGUAGACAUUCAGGAGAGCCAGUGGCCUGGCUUUGUCAUGCUGCAUUUUGUGGUCGGGGAGCAACAGAGCAAAGGACUGAGAUUUCUUCACAGUGGAAGCUGAUCAGGCGGUUCUAAAACUACCUGAAGGACAGGGAGUCUGCAGUGAGGUGGAAGUAAUGGGGUGAGUGUGUGGACCCUCAGCUUCCUCGACGCCCUGUGCUGCAUCGAGGAGAACGUGUAUUAUGUUGGGGAGAGGAUCAUAGCACAUCUGGAGCAUUAUCACAGGGCUGGUCCCCAGCAACCUUCCCAGUCACACAGAGUCCCCUGUAGCCAAACCAGCGUACAUCACAGGACAGCACCUUAAGGGGGUGGGGGGUGAGGUGGGGAUGAAGACGGGAUAGAGAGAGGAAGGAAGGGAACGCCAUCCAGGACUGAGAGAAGGCCGUACCUAGAGAGGACCGGGUGGAUCUGUUUUAGGUAGGAGCUUCCUGUAGAUAAAUUACCGAUCCCUCAACUAUAAUCCCCAUUAUGUAACGGCUGAAUUAACAUGUAACCAACUGCAUCGUAUCUAAAGCCUUAGAACUAGUCAGGUGCUCCCCCCACCCGAUACUGUUUCUUACCCUCUAAUCCUACCUGAUCUUUAACAAAGCAUUAAUAAUUCUAAGGAUAAUCUCUAUUUUGUUGUGCUUUUUUGUAACUGUUUUAAAUAAAUCAAUUUGUACUGUAUAUUUGUACCUUUUG
This 2523-nucleotide long non-coding RNA is filed under the name Vombatus ursinus (common wombat). RNAcentral's name for it is "lncRNA (ENSVURG00010020057.1)". The record is from RNAcentral. Lineage: Eukaryota; Metazoa; Chordata; Mammalia; Diprotodontia; Vombatidae.